UAUUAAAAAUUUUCUAAUUUUACUUUUAAAAAAUUACGUGGUUGACAAAAAAACUACAUAGUUACACGUGGAGUGCCACGUGUACCUCAUUUUGAUAUAUCAGGAUUAAUUUUUAAUAGUAGAAAUAGUUAAAAUUUUUAAAA
Molecule: non-coding RNA, 143 nt
Organism: Gossypium raimondii (Peruvian cotton)
Lineage: Eukaryota; Viridiplantae; Streptophyta; Magnoliopsida; Malvales; Malvaceae
Source: Rfam